AAGUUCCAGACACUCAUGCUCCCAGCAGUCCUUGGUGAGCAGAUGGGAGGGAGGAUGACUGAAAGAAUGAAUGAACACUGCCAGUAGACUCUCUGAGCUUACGAAGACUUGUUGGAGCUGGUAAACAGACUGGGAUCAGGACCAAUAUAAUCACGUUCAUUCUGCCACUGACCUUGCGCAGUGCUCUCCAAGACCUGAAAAAUGAGCACGUGUGGGCCAGACCGUGGUAGGGAAAAGAGUGUUCCAGGAGAUGGAACAGCACAUGCAAAGACUCUAAGAUAAGAAAGACUAAGGCGGGCUUCCCUGGUGGCGCAGUGGCUAAGAAUCUACCUGCCAACACAGGGGUCACAGGUUCAA
This is a long non-coding RNA of Balaenoptera musculus (blue whale), 357 nucleotides long. RefSeq lists it as uncharacterized. The record is from RefSeq and is a predicted model, not a curated record. The transcript is spliced from 3 exons. Lineage: Eukaryota; Metazoa; Chordata; Mammalia; Artiodactyla; Balaenopteridae.